AUAUUUUUGUAAAAACAUAAAAUAUCACCCCUAUAGUUUCACAGUUUCUCACUUUAGUACUCUAUAGUUUAAAGCGUAUCAUUUUUAUACCCUAUGAUUUUAUUUUUCUUUUUUUGUUAUCUUCUUUCACUAAUUUUUUUCGUUAAAUCAGUGAUAAAGUUAAAAUUAAAGAAUACUAAAGUGAAUAUUCGAUAAACUAUAGGUGGAGUAUCUAAAGUUUUUUGUAUGUGAUUUAACGAAAAGUUAAUGAAGGGGCUGACACAAAAAGAAAAAUGAAAUCACAGAGUACUAAAUUGAUAUACUUUAAACUACAAGAUGCUAAAGUGAGAAAGUGUGAAAUCAUAUGGGUGGUAUUUGAAGUUUACUAUAUAUUUUUUUGGGUGGGAAGUGUGGUGCAUAAAAAGAAAAGAAUAUCUAAUUUAUAUAUGUUUAGAAAAAAAAAUUGCUAUUUGUACACUAGUCGUAUAGAUGUAAAUCUUACAACUCUAUUAUAGUAGAAUUCACAAAUAUUUAAAUAGAUUUUUAUUUUAAAAAUAUUAAUAGGACUUGUAGGAAAUGAUAGUUAUUGGAUGAAUAAAGUGUAAGAUCUAUAUGUUGCUUGGAGAUAUAUAGAUAGG
RNAcentral lists this long non-coding RNA (617 nucleotides) under Ananas comosus (pineapple). RNAcentral describes it as "long non-coding RNA (ACOM_LNC035545)". The record is from RNAcentral. Lineage: Eukaryota; Viridiplantae; Streptophyta; Magnoliopsida; Poales; Bromeliaceae.